GAGUGUAGCGGCUCUGAGCAG
This 21-nucleotide unclassified non-coding RNA is filed under the name Mus musculus (house mouse). RNAcentral describes it as "oocyte_clustered_small_RNA5234". The record is from RNAcentral. Lineage: Eukaryota; Metazoa; Chordata; Mammalia; Rodentia; Muridae.